Molecule: unclassified non-coding RNA, 376 nt
Filed under: uncultured Micrococcales bacterium
Lineage: Bacteria; Bacillati; Actinomycetota; Actinomycetes; Micrococcales
Description: contains 16S-23S intergenic spacer region
Source: RNAcentral
UCCGAGUUGACCCCGGCAGUCUCCCAUGAGUCCCCACCAUCACGUGCUGGCAACUAAGGGCGAGGGUUGCGCUCGUUGCGGGACUUAACCCAACAUCUCACGACACGAGCUGACGACAACCAUGCACCACCUGUAUAGAGACCUUGCGGGGCGACUGUUUCCAGACGUUUCCUCUACAUGUCAAGCCUUGGUAAGGUUCUUCGCGUUGCAUCGAAUUAAUCCGCAUGCUCCGCCGCUUGUGCGGGCCCCCGUCAAUUCCUUUGAGUUUUAGCCUUGCGGCCGUACUCCCCAGGCGGGGAACUUACUGCGUUAGCGACGGCACCGGGAGGGUCGCUCCCCCCGACGCCUAGUGCCCAUCGUUUACGGCGUGGACUAC